RNAcentral lists this ribosomal RNA (579 nucleotides) under uncultured bacterium. RNAcentral's name for it is "partial 16S ribosomal RNA". It matches the Rfam family "Bacterial small subunit ribosomal RNA", at positions 355 to 932 of the family's 1533-position model. The record is from RNAcentral.
UGGGGAAUUUUGGACAAUGGGCGAAAGCCUGAUCCAGCAAUGCCGCGUGUGUGAAGAAGGCCUUCGGGUUGUAAAGCACUUUUGUCCGGAAAGAAAUCCUUGGCUCUAAUACAGUCGGGGGAUGACGGUACCGGAAGAAUAAGCACCGGCUAACUACGUGCCAGCAGCCGCGGUAAUACGUAGGGUGCAAGCGUUAAUCGGAAUUACUGGGCGUAAAGCGUGCGCAGGCGGUUUGCUAAGACCGAUGUGAAAUCCCCGGGCUCAACCUGGGAACUGCAUUGGUGACUGGCAGGCUAGAGUAUGGCAGAGGGGGGUAGAAUUCCACGUGUAGCAGUGAAAUGCGUGGAGAUGUGGAGGAAUACCGAUGGCGAAGGCAGCCCCCUGGGCCAAUACUGACGCUCAUGCACGAAAGCGUGGGGAGCAAACAGGAUUAGAUACCCUGGUAGUCCACGCCCUAAACGAUGUCAACUAGUUGUUGGGGAUUCAUUUCCUUAGUAACGUAGCUAACGCGUGAAGUUGACCGCCUGGGGAGUACGGUCGCAAGAUUAAAACUCAAAUGAAUUGACGGGGUCAUAGCUG